UGAGGAAUAUUGGGCAAUGCCCGCAAGGGUGACCCAGCAACGCCGCGUGGAGGAUGAAUGUCGUAAGAUUGUAAACUCCUGUUAGAGGGGAAGAAUAGUACCGGUUGGACCGGUAUAUGACUGUACCCUCAGAGAAAGCCCCGGCUAACUACGUGCCAGCAGCCGCGGUAAUACGAAGGGGGCAAGCGUUGUCCGGAUUUACUGGGUGUAAAGGGCGCGCAGGCGGGAUAAAAAGUCAGUGGUGAAAUCCUACAGCUUAACUGUAGAACUGCCUUUGAUACUUUUAUUCUUGAGUUCGGGAGAGAGAGACGGAAUUCCAGGUGUAGUGGUGAAAUACGUAGAUAUCUGGAAGAACACCAGUUGCGAAGGCGGUCUCUUGGUCCGACACUGACGCUGAGGCGCGAAAGCUAAGGUA
RNAcentral lists this ribosomal RNA (415 nucleotides) under uncultured bacterium. RNAcentral's name for it is "bacterial SSU rRNA". It matches the Rfam family "Bacterial small subunit ribosomal RNA", at positions 355 to 767 of the family's 1533-position model. The record is from RNAcentral.